ACUCAAUAAAACAGCAACUCCUACUUGGUUUGGUGGUUUGUGGGCAUUUGUGCUAGUACAGAGGUCGCGGGUUCGAUUCCCAUCUUUUUUCUUUUUCUAUUUUUGGUUUCUAAUUUAUAACUCCUUUCGUUUUGUAAAAUAGCAAUAUAAUAGUGAAAUUCUAAAAUUGCACGUGAAAUUUUAGAUGCAAUUCUAAAAUUGCAAGCAAAAUUUUAUGUUUAAUUUAAAAAUUGCACGUGAAAUUUUAUGCACAAUUGUAAAAAAUGCACGUGAAAUUUAUGUGCAAAUUUAUUUUUGAUUUCUCUUCUAUAGCUUGUUCUUUUGUCUACAAAUUGAGCGUCCACCCCAUGGCAAUUCGUAUAUGUCAAUAAUACAAAAUAUUCUUCAUUUAAAGAACUUAUUUUUAAAAAAAAUAUCUGUCCAAUUUAACCUGAAAUUUUUAGAAUCG
Molecule: long non-coding RNA, 448 nt
Filed under: Brachypodium distachyon (stiff brome)
Lineage: Eukaryota; Viridiplantae; Streptophyta; Magnoliopsida; Poales; Poaceae
Description: long non-coding RNA (BDIS_LNC005501)
Source: RNAcentral